Molecule: ribosomal RNA, 2932 nt
Filed under: Escherichia coli
Lineage: Bacteria; Pseudomonadati; Pseudomonadota; Gammaproteobacteria; Enterobacterales; Enterobacteriaceae
Description: 23S ribosomal RNA
Rfam family: Bacterial large subunit ribosomal RNA
Source: RNAcentral
GGGUUGUGAGGUUAAGCGACUAAGCGUACACGGUGGAUGCCCUGGCAGUCAGAGGCGAUGAAGGACGUGCUAAUCUGCGAUAAGCGUCGGUAAGGUGAUAUGAACCGUUAUAACCGGCGAUUUCCGAAUGGGGAAACCCAGUGUGAUUCGUCACACUAUCAUUAACUGAAUCCAUAGGUUAAUGAGGCGAACCGGGGGAACUGAAACAUCUAAGUACCCCGAGGAAAAGAAAUCAACCGAGAUUCCCCCAGUAGCGGCGAGCGAACGGGGAGCAGCCCAGAGCCUGAAUCAGUGUGUGUGUUAGUGGAAGCGUCUGGAAAGGCGCGCGAUACAGGGUGACAGCCCCGUACACAAAAAUGCACAUAUUGUGAGCUCGAUGAGUAGGGCGGGACACGUGGUAUCCUGUCUGAAUAUGGGGGGACCAUCCUCCAAGGCUAAAUACUCCUGACUGACCGAUAGUGAACCAGUACCGUGAGGGAAAGGCGAAAAGAACCCCGGCGAGGGGAGUGAAAAAGAACCUGAAACCGUGUACGUACAAGCAGUGGGAGCCUCUUUAUGGGGUGACUGCGUACCUUUUGUAUAAUGGGUCAGCGACUUAUAUUCUGUAGCAAGGUUAACCGAAUAGGGGAGCCGAAGGGAAACCGAGUCUUAACUGGGCGUUAAGUUGCAGGGUAUAGACCCGAAACCCGGUGAUCUAGCCAUGGGCAGGUUGAAGGUUGGGUAACACUAACUGGAGGACCGAACCGACUAAUGUUGAAAAAUUAGCGGAUGACUUGUGGCUGGGGGUGAAAGGCCAAUCAAACCGGGAGAUAGCUGGUUCUCCCCGAAAGCUAUUUAGGUAGCGCCUCGUGAAUUCAUCUCCGGGGGUAGAGCACUGUUUCGGCAAGGGGGUCAUCCCGACUUACCAACCCGAUGCAAACUGCGAAUACCGGAGAAUGUUAUCACGGGAGACACACGGCGGGUGCUAACGUCCGUCGUGAAGAGGGAAACAACCCAGACCGCCAGCUAAGGUCCCAAAGUCAUGGUUAAGUGGGAAACGAUGUGGGAAGGCCCAGACAGCCAGGAUGUUGGCUUAGAAGCAGCCAUCAUUUAAAGAAAGCGUAAUAGCUCACUGGUCGAGUCGGCCUGCGCGGAAGAUGUAACGGGGCUAAACCAUGCACCGAAGCUGCGGCAGCGACGCUUAUGCGUUGUUGGGUAGGGGAGCGUUCUGUAAGCCUGUGAAGGUGUGCUGUGAGGCAUGCUGGAGGUAUCAGAAGUGCGAAUGCUGACAUAAGUAACGAUAAAGCGGGUGAAAAGCCCGCUCGCCGGAAGACCAAGGGUUCCUGUCCAACGUUAAUCGGGGCAGGGUGAGUCGACCCCUAAGGCGAGGCCGAAAGGCGUAGUCGAUGGGAAACAGGUUAAUAUUCCUGUACUUGGUGUUACUGCGAAGGGGGGACGGAGAAGGCUAUGUUGGCCGGGCGACGGUUGUCCCGGUUUAAGCGUGUAGGCUGGUUUUCCAGGCAAAUCCGGAAAAUCAAGGCUGAGGCGUGAUGACGAGGCACUACGGUGCUGAAGCAACAAAUGCCCUGCUUCCAGGAAAAGCCUCUAAGCAUCAGGUAACAUCAAAUCGUACCCCAAACCGACACAGGUGGUCAGGUAGAGAAUACCAAGGCGCUUGAGAGAACUCGGGUGAAGGAACUAGGCAAAAUGGUGCCGUAACUUCGGGAGAAGGCACGCUGAUAUGUAGGUGAAGUCCCUCGCGGAUGGAGCUGAAAUCAGUCGAAGAUACCAGCUGGCUGCAACUGUUUAUUAAAAACACAGCACUGUGCAAACACGAAAGUGGACGUAUACGGUGUGACGCCUGCCCGGUGCCGGAAGGUUAAUUGAUGGGGUUAGCGGUAACGCGAAGCUCUUGAUCGAAGCCCCGGUAAACGGCGGCCGUAACUAUAACGGUCCUAAGGUAGCGAAAUUCCUUGUCGGGUAAGUUCCGACCUGCACGAAUGGCGUAAUGAUGGCCAGGCUGUCUCCACCCGAGACUCAGUGAAAUUGAACUCGCUGUGAAGAUGCAGUGUACCCGCGGCAAGACGGAAAGACCCCGUGAACCUUUACUAUAGCUUGACACUGAACAUUGAGCCUUGAUGUGUAGGAUAGGUGGGAGGCUUUGAAGUGUGGACGCCAGUCUGCAUGGAGCCGACCUUGAAAUACCACCCUUUAAUGUUUGAUGUUCUAACGUUGACCCGUGAUCCGGGUUGCGGACAGUGUCUGGUGGGUAGUUUGACUGGGGCGGUCUCCUCCUAAAGAGUAACGGAGGAGCACGAAGGUUGGCUAAUCCUGGUCGGACAUCAGGAGGUUAGUGCAAUGGCAUAAGCCAGCUUGACUGCGAGCGUGACGGCGCGAGCAGGUGCGAAAGCAGGUCAUAGUGAUCCGGUGGUUCUGAAUGGAAGGGCCAUCGCUCAACGGAUAAAAGGUACUCCGGGGAUAACAGGCUGAUACCGCCCAAGAGUUCAUAUCGACGGCGGUGUUUGGCACCUCGAUGUCGGCUCAUCACAUCCUGGGGCUGAAGUAGGUCCCAAGGGUAUGGCUGUUCGCCAUUUAAAGUGGUACGCGAGCUGGGUUUAGAACGUCGUGAGACAGUUCGGUCCCUAUCUGCCGUGGGCGCUGGAGAACUGAGGGGGGCUGCUCCUAGUACGAGAGGACCGGAGUGGACGCAUCACUGGUGUUCGGGUUGUCAUGCCAAUGGCACUGCCCGGUAGCUAAAUGCGGAAGAGAUAAGUGCUGAAAGCAUCUAAGCACGAAACUUGCCCCGAGAUGAGUUCUCCCUGACUCCUUGAGAGUCCUGAAGGAACGUUGAAGACGACGACGUUGAUAGGCCGGGUGUGUAAGCGCAGCGAUGCGUUGAGCUAACCGGUACUAAUGAACCGUGAGGCUUAACCUUACAACGCCGAAGGUGUUU